Lolium rigidum is the source of this 1612-nucleotide RNA transcript. It is a transcript of the gene named L10-interacting MYB domain-containing protein-like, with no coding region annotated. The record is from RefSeq and is a predicted model, not a curated record. The transcript is spliced from 6 exons. Lineage: Eukaryota; Viridiplantae; Streptophyta; Magnoliopsida; Poales; Poaceae.
UCGUCUGGCUCUCGUGACAGGGAGGCGGCGCUCCUUCCUCCGGCGACGCUCCUUCCUUCGACGGCGACCGGACGAGAUCUCGAACCGGACGAGAUCCUCUACCUCUCUCGCAUCUCCCCUCUCCCCUCUCCAAGAUCUUCUCCGGCGGCAACUGGAGAGAGCUCAGAUCGGGUUGUUUUCCUCAUCCAAGAUCUGAUCGCCUUCCUCGUCGCCGGCUCAAUCUCCUGCUGAAGUUGUUGUGGGGAAGCAAGGACGGCACGGAGGGAGCAAGGACGGGACGGCGGGCGGCGACAAGUACAGAGGUGAUUUCAUCUUAGUGCUGGCUGCUGCUCCAUCUAUUCGGCCAACGGCUCAACGUGGUUCAGUACUGCAGCUAUGGUAAAAGAAACAUCAAGAGCAUCUUGGUCCCAUUCCUAUGAGAGAGGUUUAGCCGAGCUACUAGUAGAGCACAAUGUUCCAGUCUACAGAGGUCAGAAUGGUUGGGUAGCAGAAGGGUGGAAGAGCAUCGUAUCAAAAUUCAAUCUCAAGUUUCCAUCUGCUCAGUUCACAAAGCAGCAGAUCCAGGAGAAAGAAAAGGACAUGAAAGCAAAUUACAAAGCAGUUCGAGAUGCUCGAAAACAGAGUGGUACAGGCUGGGAUGAUUCGCUGAAUAUGAUAAUUGCCGAGCCAAUAAUCUGGGAAAAACUGAAGAAGGACUAUCCAAGGGUGAAGAGGUAUGAAGGAAAGCCAUUUUUGUUGUUCCCUAUACUGGCUUCACUCUAUGAAGUUUGCAUGGAGCAGGUAGUAUUGCUACAGGAGAUCUGAACUUUCUAUCAAUUCCUAGUGUGGACCUUACAAGUGAUGUUGUUUCGCCCACCGACUCGUCUACAAAUCAACAUGGAAUGGUAAAUCCCUUCUCUACCACUCAUGAUGCUGGUCAGUCGUCUAAUAUGCAUGGUCAAGAGGCUGAACCGACAACAAGUGCUAGCUCUGGACAGAAAGUAGAUGAGCCUGUGAAGAAGAAAAGGAAACAGAGUCAGAUAGCUCAAGUACUUGAAGACUACGUGGACUUUAAAAAGCAACAAAGUCAGACAUUUGUCGAAGAAAUGAAGGAACCGAAGCAAAAAGACCAGUUCACCAUUGCAAGUUGUGUGGCAGCACUAGAAACAAUAGAGGAAGAGGAACUUUCAAUUGCAGAGAAGUCAAAGGCGCUGCGGCUUUUCAAAUGCCAGCUCAAUCGAGAGAUUUUUCUCAAUACAAAGGACCCAAUCCUUCGGACUUUUUGGUUGAAAGAAGAAAUCUCGGCGAUGGAGAAAGCAUAAGACAGGGAUGAUCCACCAGAGGAGGAGUAGAAGAAAGCCAUGCAGAAAAGCUCAUGGACAUGUCCCCAGCGAACUGUUUUCUUCGAUUUCAUGUUAAAAACUUCUAUGCAACUCAAGUUUGAUUGAUGCUAUCUGGCUUGGUGCAAUUUAGAUAAUUGACAUGUAUUAAUUAUUGUUGCAAGAUGUUUCUUUUUGUAAGAUUUGUUGCAAGACUUUCUACCUUUUUAAUUAAUUCUGCCUGGAGAUGUAAAGAUUGGUUGAAUAUGUUGUGUAUUUCGAAUUAUAAGUAUUUCUUGAUAUUUCUGUAUUAA